Molecule: long non-coding RNA, 2476 nt
Organism: Musa acuminata AAA Group (dessert banana)
Lineage: Eukaryota; Viridiplantae; Streptophyta; Magnoliopsida; Zingiberales; Musaceae
Exons: 2
Source: RefSeq, a predicted model, not a curated record
UCGAGUUGGAAUCCACGAACCCAAGUCCAGCAUCGACUUCGAGGCUUGGUUUAGUAUAAACUUGGCCUCGUUUCAUCACUCUCGUCGCCUCCAUCGCCGACCUCUCGACCUCUCCCUCCCCGGCAAUCGCUUGCUAGACCUUCAUCCACCACCAAGAGUCAGUAUCACCGCACGACUCCACCAAUAUCGAACCAAAUGUGCAUCGAUGAACUCACUCGCCAACCGCUCGACGAAAUGCCUGGCCAAACGUGCAUCAUUGGCUCUCAUACCUACCCAGAGAGAAGAAGAAACAAGUAGAAGAAAUCUUCACUGGCCAAUGUUGAUUUGACUUGUUCAGACUUCGAGUAGCCAAGCUAUGAUCAAACCGCAUGGGUAGAAUUCCAUAUCAGGUGAUAGCUGCCCCUUGAUAUUUUGCUUUGGAACAUUUUAAGGUCCUGGAAUUUAUGGGUUUUAUCCUCUUUCAGAAUUAAAUCAGUGUUUACUCCAUUCAUAGUUCUUGAUAUUUUUCUACAGUGCAUAUUGAUUUGUUUAUUCUGCCUUUAUGCAUUCACUUGACAUCUUGCAUUUUGAACUUUCCUUUGAAAAGACUAUAAAUCUCUAAUCUUUGGUUAACAUGCAUAUUUUAAUUUCUUUAUUCCAGCUUAUUUCCUUGAAAAAGCUCAUAUUUUUCGGUUUUCCUAGAUGAAGCCCUUUUUUGCAAAAUGGCUGCAUAGUGUCUCUUAUGCCUUGUGCCAACCAAAAUGUCUUCUUUGAUAGCCACUAUUGAUGUUGGGUUUCUUAUUGGUUUUUCAUUAUCAUUUUUUCACAAUCACUUACUACAGAUAUUAGAAGGAUUUUCAAAAAAGAAAGAUCUAAAUUUUAGGUUUUUUGGAAAAAAAAAUGAAGAUUUGUUAUCAAUCAAUUGUUUGAAAUGUGUUGAAACCUUUUUAAUUUUCAUCAGAUCCUCCAAAAUCUCAUACAAAUUUUUCUAUGAUACCUCAAAAUUUAUAAUAAGAUGAUUGAUAAUAUUGGUAGGAUUUGAAGUGAUUGAAGCUCGAUAAUGGUGUUUUUAAAAAUAGUUAUGAUAUUUUUGAUUCAAUAACAAAAAAUACUUCAAAUAUUGGAGUACCAAGUUAACUCACUGAAGAUGGUUAUGUACUAACCCCAUUUACCAAAGGUUGAGGGCUCAAAACUUCAUCUGAUAUUUUUAUACAUAAAAUAUUAGCUUGAUGGUGGUGUACGAAACUCACUUAUUAAAAGUUGAGGGAUGGAAACAUCAUUUAACAUAUUUAAUUACCUAAAAUAUUAGUCUUGUGAUGGUUUAUUAGACUCACUUAUCAAAGGUUAAGGGUUUGAAACAUCGCCCGAUAUAUUUUUACACUUAAGACAUCGGUCUGUAUCAGAUCCACUUAGUAGAGAUUGAGAGUUCAAAAUCACAUUCGAUAUAUUUUUAUGCUUUAAACAUUGAUCUCACGCAUCAAUGAUUAAGAGUUUAAAACAUCAUCCAACAUAUUUUUACACCUUAAAACAUUGAUAUGGUGAUGAUGUACGAGACUGUCUUACCGAGGGUUAAGGGUUUGAAACUUCAUUUGAUAUAUUUUUAAAAGUUUUAGUUAGCUUAGCUGAUAAAACUUAAAACAAUUCAUCACAAGGUUUUGUGUUCUAAUCUCAUUUUCAUCAUUUAUUCUAAAUAAAAAAUAAAAAAUUACUAUAGCCAAUUUUAGUUUGUGUUGGUUUGGUUGAUGAGUCGAUCUAGACUAAGUGUAUAUCGAUGAAAAAUCCAAUAUUAAUGGUUGUCACAAGGACAUUUUUUUUAUUCAAUAAUGCAUAAGAGACACUCUGUAGGCAUUCUGAAAACAUGAAAUUUGACAUGGGAAAGUCCAUAAAUCUGUGGUUUUUUUUUUCGGAAAAUUUACCUCGUAAUUUUCUUCUUCAAUUUUUCUGGGGCUUAAGGGUGCAGAACGGUCCCUUUCUAUCAACGCUGACUGAUUAGAUUAGGUUUGGAAGGUUCAAAUUGAUGAAACAUUCUACCUGAUUAUGUCAAAUGUCAUCACAUGUGAAUGAUUGCGUUAGGUGGAUUGUUUUGACGACCAAUUCCAAUGUCUAAUGUAUCAUUCAAAGUUGCAGUGCAUUUUUUUCAGAAAAUAGCAGCUCAUAUUCCUCGCUUGAUAGCAGAGAUGGAGUCAAGAACCAUUUUUUUUACUUGGUUGUGUUUGGAAGAAAGAAAUAAUGAAGUCUUCCAGAGAGAGAGAGAGAGAGUUGGUUUUGUUUGGAAGAAAGAAAUCAUCAAGUUUUCCACAGAGAGAGAAAGGGAGAGAAGAAUUUGGACAGCUGGUGAUGAUGAUUGGAUCGAAAGGGAUCUGGGGACGCGCAAACGCAGCCGACCCUUAUUUUUAAGUGUAUGCUUUGCGAUGAACUGUUCAUUCCGCGUUAUUGACGUGAUUAUUUUAUUGUGAUGUUGAUUACUGGUGUUAAUGAUAUGAAUCGAUUGGACGAA